GAAGCCUCCACCCACCCAGCAGAAUGAUCUCAGCUCAAGGCCAUUCUUGCAUUGGUUUCUCUGAAUUGGCCCAGUAAAUGCUGUUUCUUCACAAAUAAAAUCAUGGCAGGAACUGGCUUUUUGAUUUGUACAAUUAUUGAGCUUCUGAACAUGAGACUGCACAGUUUACCUCCCAGGAAAAUCAUGUUUUCUUAACUAUAUGGCAGAGCUCCUCAAGACACUGAGGGAACCCAACCAAGCACACUAUGCUUUUAGCAGGUGGUGACUUUCCAAGCUAAAAAUGCAGGAUCUGUGUGAUGCAGAGAUGAGUCACCACACGUCACACAGCAACAGGCUCUUUGGUGAAAGAAGGUAGGUGAGCUGGUGCUCACAGGUCUUCCUCUAGCAAGCUGGGUAGACAUGAUUUCCUUUUCCCCAAACCUUUCUCCCCCCUCUGUUUUCAUUAGCUAGAAACCUACUUACUGACUCUGACCUACAUUUGCAGUAGUUCCGGAAUGCAACAGAACUGUGUUUCUGGGGAAUUUGCUAUUUGCUAAAAAUUUUAAUCCAAGUCAUUUUGAAAUGUUAUAUGUUAACUGAGCAAACACAGCAAUCAGAAAAGUAUACAAACCCCAAGCAAUUGUCCUGGAUUUGUUUACAACACACUGCUAUUAAUGAGCGUCUGGGAUGAGUAUGGGAUCUUGUACUAUGGAUCUCAUGAUCUGUACAAUAAUGGCUGAUUUUAAUUGACUUUUGCUUCAUAUAGCAAAUCCCAAUUGGAGAAGUUCCAGGAUGCUGCUAGUGAAGAACUGUGGGCGGGUGCAUGUUUUGAAGUGAUGGUAAACAUUGUGACAUAUACUGUGUGUACCACAUAUUCUCAUAUGCACAUUUUGACUUUUGUUGCCUUGGCUUUCACACAGCAUUUCUAACAUAGACAUUCCUAUUUGCCAGUUUGAGUGGAAAUCUGUUAAUAUGUGAAUACUGCUCGCCAGCACGUACCAGCAUCGCUGGACUCUCAGUACUUCUCUUCUCCCAUGGAACACCCAGCCCUGCGUGCUCAGAGGGGCUCCACAGGACUGCGGCAUCUAUGUGAGCAGGACUGGCAGAGCUGUGCAAACAAGGAGUGAUGAGAGCUGCUGUGAGAAACCAUAACUUUGAGAACGUGUAACUCAGCUCAGUGAGUGAUCCACUAAUUCCCAAUGAAGCCAUCUGUGAUGGUAACUAAAAUGGGAACGGAACAGGAUUCACUUUGGAGCGCCCGUCAGAAGUGCUCCCCUCCGGCAUGCGCUGCCAGCAGCAGCAUGUCUUCCAAGAUCAUUCCCAAGAUGAUUUGUUGGAGCCUGCCUAGGCAUGUUCCUGUGUGAGGAACUUGGUGAGCAGCCUACUCAUGUGAGGCCAGAGAGCAUCCAGGAUUCCCUGAAGGAGGCAGAGGAAUCCCUGCAGAACUCCUCAUGCGUCCCCAUGGGACAGGACACAAGAUUUGGGAAAAACCUUCCAUGCCUUUGUUAACUCAUGCACAAAAUGAGCGGAUUGGUGCAGUGGAGCCCCUCACAUUGACACAGCCAGCUCUUGUCCCAGCCAGGUGAGGCUGUGCCAGGCAGGGCAGCCUGGCAAUCCUGAGACAUAACAGGGAGCUGUACAUCCCCAAGAUGGCUUGGAAGUUCCAGGUAAUCACAGUAUGGAGCAUAACGUGGAUUUAUAUUUGUUACUUUACUUGCCUAUGGUACCUCCCAAGAGCCUUCUGAGGCAUUCCAUUCUUUAAUAAGCUGAAAGUGCUCCGAGAUUUUUCUAAUGAAAAUGAUAUAGGAGCACACAGUGUUAUUAUUAAAACCUCUCUCUUUUUCUCUAGGAACUGCUAAAAUACAUUUACAGUUUAUAUCCUUUUUG
Corapipo altera (White-ruffed manakin) is the source of this 1866-nucleotide long non-coding RNA. RefSeq lists it as uncharacterized. The transcript has 3 exons. The record is from RefSeq and is a predicted model, not a curated record. NCBI's taxonomy places the organism in Eukaryota, Metazoa, Chordata, Aves, Passeriformes, Pipridae.